This 857-nucleotide ribosomal RNA is filed under the name uncultured bacterium. Its description in RNAcentral is "bacterial SSU rRNA". It matches the Rfam family "Bacterial small subunit ribosomal RNA", at positions 40 to 915 of the family's 1533-position model. The record is from RNAcentral.
CGGCCGGGUGCUAAUACAUGCAAGUCGAGCGGAGGAGCAGCAAUGCUUCUUAGCGGCGAACGGGUGAGUAACGCGUUGGUGACCUGCCCCGAAGUGUGGGAUAGCAGUUCGAAAGGACUGAUAAUACCGCAUGAAUUCUCAGAGAUUAGAGGCUUUGAGAGAAAAGGAGAAAUUCGCUUCGGGAGGGGCCUGCGUCCCAUCAGCUAGUUGGUAAGGUAACGGCCUACCAAGGCGAUGACGGGUAGGGGACCUGAGAGGGUGGCCCCCCACAAUGGAACUGAAACACGGUCCAUACACCUACGGGUGGCAGCAGUAGGGAAUAUUGCAUAAUGGGCGCAAGCCUGAUGCAGCAACGCCGCGUGUGCGAUGAAGGCCUUCGGGUCGCAAAGCACUUUUAGCAGGGAUGAGGAAGGACAGUACCUGCUGAAUAAGCCUCGGCUAACUACGUGCCAGCAGCCGCGGUAAAACGUAGGAGGCGAGCGUUAUCCGGAUUUACUGGGUGUAAAGCGUGUGCAGGCGGUACGGUAAGUUGGAUGUGAAAGCUCCUGGCUUAACUGGGAGAGGUCGUUCAAAACUACCGAACUUGAGUAUGGGAGAGGGAGGCGGAAUUCCGGGUGUAGUGGUGAAAUGCGUAGAUAUCCGGAGGAACACCAGUGGCGAAAGCGGCCUCCUGGCCCAAAACUGACGCUCAGACACGAAAGCUAGGGGAGCGAACGGGAUUAGAGACCCCGGUAGUCCUAGCUGUAAACGAUGUGAACUUGGCGUCGGCGGGUUUAAAUCCGUCGGUGCCGAAGCUAACGCGAUAGUUCACCACCUGGGGACUACGGCCGCAAGGUUAAAACUCAAAGGAAUUGGAC